Molecule: ribosomal RNA, 478 nt
Filed under: uncultured bacterium
Lineage: Bacteria
Description: partial 16S ribosomal RNA
Rfam family: Bacterial small subunit ribosomal RNA
Source: RNAcentral
GACGAACGCUGGCGGCGUGCUUAACACAUGCAAGUCGAACGGUAAGGCCCUUCGGGGUACACGAGUGGCGAACGGGUGAGUAACACGUGGGUGAUCUGCCCUGCACUUCGGGAUAAGCCUGGGCAACUGGGUCUAAUACCGGAUAGGACCACUGCCUGCAUGGGUGGUGGUGGAAAGAUUUUGCGGUGUGGGAUGGGCCCGCGGCCUAUCAGCUUGUUGGUGGGGUGAUGGCCUACCAAGGCGACGAGUGGUAGCCGGCCUGAGAGGGUGACCGGCCACACUGGGACUGAGAUACGGCCCAGACUCCUACGGGAGGCAGCAGUGGGGAAUAUUGCACAAUGGGCGCAAGCCUGAUGCAGCGACGCCGCGUGAGGGAUGACGGCCUUCGGGUUGUAAACCUCUUUCAGCACCGACGAAGCGCAAGUGACGGUAGGUGCAGAAGAAGGACCGGCCAACUACGUGCCAGCCGCCGCAGUAA